This 170-nucleotide ribosomal RNA is filed under the name Peziza bananincola. RNAcentral's name for it is "partial large subunit ribosomal RNA". It matches the Rfam family "Eukaryotic large subunit ribosomal RNA", at positions 99 to 261 of the family's 3401-position model. Lineage: Eukaryota; Fungi; Ascomycota; Pezizomycetes; Pezizales; Pezizaceae. The record is from RNAcentral.
CGGCAAAAGCUCAGAUUUGAAAUCUGUCGUCAGUCUUUGACGUCCGAGUUGUAAUCUGUAGAGGGGUAUUCGAGUAUAGCUUUGGCUUAAGUUCCUUGGAACAGGGCGUCAGAGAGGGUGAGAACCCCGUAAUUGGCCCUUGUCUUAUGCUCAUGUGAAUCUCCUUCAGC